CCUACGGGUGGCAGCAGUAGGGAAUAUUGCUCAAUGGGGGAAACCCUGAAGCAGCAACGCCGCGUGGAGGAUGAAGGUUUUCGGAUUUUAAACUCCUUUUGUUAGAGAAGAUAAUGACGGUAUCUAACGAAUAAGCACCGGUUAACGCCGUGCCAGCAGCCGCUGUAAUACGGAGGGUGGAAGCGUUACUCGGAAUGAUUGGGGGUAAAGAGCGCGUAGGCGGGAUAGCAAGUCAGAUGUGAAAUCCUAUGGCUUAACCAUAGAACUGCAUUUGAAAAUGUUAUUCUAGAGUAUGGGAGAGGUAGGUGGAAUUCGUGGUGUAGCGGUAAAAUCCGUAGAGAUCAAGAGGAAUACUCAUUGCGAAGGCGGCCUGCUAGAACAUAACUGACGCUGAUGCGCGAAAGCGUGGGGAGCAAACAGGAUUAGAUACCCUAGUAGUC
This 440-nucleotide ribosomal RNA is filed under the name uncultured bacterium. RNAcentral describes it as "partial 16S ribosomal RNA". It matches the Rfam family "Bacterial small subunit ribosomal RNA", at positions 338 to 795 of the family's 1533-position model. The record is from RNAcentral.